RNAcentral lists this ribosomal RNA (484 nucleotides) under uncultured bacterium. RNAcentral's name for it is "partial 16S ribosomal RNA". It matches the Rfam family "Bacterial small subunit ribosomal RNA", at positions 28 to 507 of the family's 1533-position model. The record is from RNAcentral.
AUUGAACGCUGGCGGCAUGCUUUACACAUGCGAGUCGAACGGCAGCGCGGGCUUCGGCCUGGCGGCGAGUGGCGAACGGGUGAGUAAUGCAUCGGAACGUGCCCAGUAGUGGGGGAUAGCCCGGCGAAAGCCGGAUUAAUACCGCAUACGACCCGAGGGUGAAAGCGGGGGACCGAAAGGCCUCGCGCGAUUGGAGCGGCCGAUGUCGGAUUAGCUAGUUGGUGGGGUAAAGGCUUACCAAGGCGGCGAUCCGUAGCUGGUCUGAGAGGACGACCAGCCACACUGGGACUGAGACACGGCCCAGACUCCUACGGGAGGCAGCAGUGGGGAAUUUUGGACAAUGGGGGCAACCCUGAUCCAGCCAUGCCGCGUGCGGGAAGAAGGCCUUCGGGUUGUAAACCGCUUUUGUUCGGGAAGAAAUCCUCUGGGCUAAUACCCCGGGGGGAUGACGGUACCGGAAGAAUAAGCACCGGCUAACUACGUG